Non-coding RNA from Cricetulus griseus (Chinese hamster), 2095 nucleotides. The record is from RefSeq and is a predicted model, not a curated record. Lineage: Eukaryota; Metazoa; Chordata; Mammalia; Rodentia; Cricetidae.
UGCGCGCGCGCGUGCAUGCGCGUGAAUAUACAAGACACAUGAAUACAGGUGCCUACAGAGACCAGAAAGGACACCAGAUUCCCUGGAACUAGAGUUCCAGGUGACUUCGAGCUGCCUGAUGAGGGUGCUGAGAACUGAACUCAGGUUCUCUGCAAGAACUGCGCAGGCUCUUAACCACUAAGCAGUCUCUCCAGCCUCCGGAUAUGGGGAUGUCUGUUGCCUGUGUUUCCAGAAAAGAACCACAGGGUCAUAAUCUGUUAGCCAACACCAGCGUCCGAGUUCAUAUGUGUAAUUUUGGGCCCAUACCCUGAAUCAUCCUCUUACUCCAAAACAAAACAAAUUAAACCCUGAGGAAUCUGGCAGAAAAACCUGUGUAUUUAUUAUGCUGUUGUUAAGAUCUAGAGACUCUGGGAACAUUAGCUUUCCAUUUUUGUGUGGGAAUCUCUAUUUGGAAGCACAUGACUGCCCAGGUUCCCACAGCUCUUUACAAGCCUCGUCUCUCAUUUACAUUCUGUCAUUUAUGUCUUUAUAUGGCCCAAUCGGUGUUUACAGGUGGUGUGAGCACUGUCCUCCCAGCGUGACAUGAGAACAGCUCGGGCUGUUCCAGAGACUGGAGAUGGGGUCUGCUGACUGGUCAUGCUCCUUCACAGAUUUGAUCGGCUGGGCUGUCAAACGUUACAUCCUUGAGUGGACGAGGAUUGCGUAAUUCUGUAGGAUCAGCCCGGGAAGCGUUGUCCCGCCUGUAUCAGUGAUUGACAGAAGGCAGAGCAGAGAGAGGGCUGACCGUGCCUGUGAACACGUUUGAAGUUGCGGCGUUCCCAUUUUGUACAAGGGUUUAAAAGAGCGCCACCACCAUUUUCAUGAGCUUGGGAUGGUUGUUUCUGACAUCUGCACAGUUAUUUCAAGAAGCCAAGAGAGUUAGAAACUGUGAAGAUUGACAGCAGGCACAGAGACAGAUGAACUACUUAAGCAUCAAAUCAAACAAGAGGCAAAGCCCCAUUUCCUGAGCUGGGAAAUCCACCUACUAGAGAAGACAGAGGAUUUACAGGAAAGAGGCUACACGUCUAUUAAAACACAUCUGUCUCCAUUUGAAAUAUAAUCAUUUGAAGCUGAUGGCGAUAGAAGAGCCAGAAAAUAACUUUUAUGAAAUAGUGGUCUCAUUGCCAUGUACCACCAUCAAAAGCUUAGAUACAACGCCUUGGAGUUACAUACACUAUAAAAGGCAAAAACCGGGAAAGGCAUUGUAUGGCAAAUAUGUUUUAGAGUUGGUAAAGGAAGCUCAGCAAAGCAAGAUGACAAGGAACACGAACCUCCGUUUCCACAUGGGCUGUGGAAAGUUCUGGUGGUGUACAGGGACUGUGGUGUAUGUCUUCACACCAUCACCUGAGCUAGCUGGCAGGAAGGAAUUCAUCUAAUUGUUUCCUCAGAGCAAAGGACGUUUUGACAGUUAUCUCCCUAAGAAGGGUGAUGUUUUCCUAAGCCAUUAAAAGCCUCCCAGGAAUGCAGUGGCCUAAGAAGAGGCCAGGUUGGAUCCUUAGAUUGCUGUGUCGGGUUCGGUGCUAUGUAAAAUCCUGUACUUCUCUUGUCCCCUCGUCUCACUCUUGCUGUCCUCCUACACUCUAUUUCUUUUGGGUUUUCUGACAUGAGAUCUCACUGUGCAGUCCAGGCUUCAAACUACAAUAACCUGCCUGUCUCAGCCUCCUGAGUACUGCGAUUAAACAUGCAUGACACCAACAUACAUGGGUCAAAGUCUAAACUGUCACUGGAAAAAUCAUCUGGAUCAUCUCACAGUGCUCCCGUGACUACGCAAUAUGACAAGGCUUGGGAAAGUGCUCGGUAAAUCUCAGAAGCUUCCCGUCUUCAUUCUGUCAGCACAUUUGAGCACGGACUGUGUGUCAGAAGCCAGGGGCAUUGUAUCUACAGUGUAAGAGGAUCUUGACUGGGAGGCCCCAGGGACCCUGUGAUGGAAAAGGCCUCCUCUCCAGGGCUGCUGGUCAGGCAUUUACAUGAUCAUGUGGCCGAGUUUGCCUAAGGCUCUGAUUCCAUCCCCAGCACUGCAAACAUAAAGAUCCUAUCAUGUGAUGACAUAGACCCA